This is a long non-coding RNA of Tinamus guttatus (white-throated tinamou), 264 nucleotides long. RefSeq lists it as uncharacterized. NCBI's taxonomy places the organism in Eukaryota, Metazoa, Chordata, Aves, Tinamiformes, Tinamidae. The record is from RefSeq and is a predicted model, not a curated record.
AGCAGCUGCCCAGUGCAACGGUACAUAUUUGCUUCUGAAUCCUUUCUCAAAGGCACUAUUUAAACAUGUUGAUGGAAUGAACUGCAUUUCUCCCCACCUCCAUUUAAGCAAAACAAAGAGACUCCGAAGACAAAAUAUGUUUUGUUUUUGCAAGUAGCAUAAUGUGGUACAGUAUUAAAUAUGAAAUGUGAACUCACCAUAGCAACCCCUGCAUCACAUUGCAGAUAUGCUGCUUCUAAGCUACGGCAAAGGUUUCUGAAGAAA